Molecule: transfer RNA, 73 nt
Filed under: bacterium
Lineage: Bacteria
Also listed under: 1 other name
Description: tRNA-Ile
Rfam family: tRNA
About the family: Transfer RNA (tRNA) molecules are approximately 80 nucleotides in length. Their secondary structure includes four short double-helical elements and three loops (D, anti-codon, and T loops).
Source: RNAcentral
GCGCUAGUAGCUCAGUUGGUAGAGCACAUCACUGAUACUGAUGGGGUCCCAGGUUCGAAUCCUGGCUGGCGCA